CCUCCAAGUGACACAAGUCGACCACUCGCGACUUCGUCGCUCGGGUCGCGCGCUUCCUCCCCCCGCGCCCUCCCUCCACCAUGGUCGACUUGUGGCAAGUCCAAGAAAACAUCAGCGGAGUGAAAUGAAGACUCGUAUUUGGCAAUUUUACAUCUUUCAAGAGUAGAAUUGCAUUGCAAGUUGCAAAAAAAUUGAACCGUGCAACAUGGCCUUUAUAUGAAAGCGGUUUUAUAUACAGAGUCCCGUGACAUACACUAUCGCGGGAAGGCCUGAGCUGUGUGACAUGACUGGUUAUAUUAUUUGUUUGCCACGUGUGUAAUAAUUGUCCUGUAGAAUAGCUGAUAAAUAUAUGGGCAUCGAAUUAUCCGAAAUCAUGGAUCAUGUUGUGGGUCACGAGGGCAAACCGUGCAGCAUAAUCUACCACUCGGGACUGUGCUACAUUCAAUGGUAGUAUCUGUUCAGUGGGCGUCCCAUGAUACAUCACAAGUAACGGCGGACUGAUAUUAAUCAACUUGCACGUGUUGUUUGCUCGUAUCCUGUUAGAUCCUUGACAACACGCCCUCGUACCAGGACAGAAUUUCAGGUUUGGGGAUGAGGUACUGUAUGGGAGUAGGAUGGAAAGAGGGAUUGGGAGACAAGUGUAAGAGAUAAAUUGGUGGGAUGAGCAACUGAGAACAAGAGGUGACCCAUCUUUUCAUCCCAAUACCUUCAUUGCACUGAGCAGAUGAGGCGAGUGUUGCUGAAUAGAUUAUUAACCAAAAUGCAAUUUUAAUUCGGAAGGUAUGUACGCUGUAAUAUAUAGCGUAAUUUCUUUAUCAAGUCACCAGGAUGCUUAUUUUUUCAAGCACGUAGAGCAGGGGUUGGGAUAACCUGAAUAUCAGGCUCUAUUUUACAAAUAAUAGCCUGACACAAACCUUAACCCGAUCGCUUUCCACCCACAGAAAAGUUUACAUUUAGUAUCCAAUCAAAAUUACACAACGACAACAACAAUCUAAUUAUAGUUGUGAUCACUAUAAAAUAUAUUAUGGACUUUUGUGAAGGUUUGUAUCUGGACCAACUUAGCCGGCAUUUGUCUCAAAUCAAUCCAAAUUUAGUUAUUUUGGAUAGAUAAAUAAAUUAUCUAUAUUUCCAAGUGUAUACAGCAUUUUUCAUGCAGCAACCCUUUCUCACCAACCAACCAAACGCUAUAUGUAGAGGCAUGUGCUAAAACCUGGACAAUGGACGAUUUUUAUUUAGCUACAGCCGUUUCAACAAAUUCAGUUUUCAAAUUUAAUCUCCGGCUAUCACUUUGUCACUAUAGACACUAUACUAUCAAUUUGACACACCUUAAUGACCUUACUUACUUACUUAUUGAAAUUUGAUUGACAGUUCAUUAAAUAGAAAUAUACAAAUUUAUAACAUUUUAAUCAAUGUUACAAUUCUGGACGUUGCACUUUUAUCAGUUGAUUAAUAUCGUAAAUCUAUUGGGUAGGGAUAAAACACGGAUACGGACGGCACGGAUGGCACGGAUACGGACGAGGGGAUAAAACACGCACGAGGGGAUAAAACACGGGCGAGGGGAUAAAAUACGGACGAGGUGAUAAAACACGGACGAGGUGAUAAAACACGGACUAGGUGAUAAAACACGGACGAGGGGAUAAAAUACGGACGAGGGGAUAAAACACGGACGAGGGGAUAAAACACGGACGAGGGGAUAAAAUACGGACGAGGGGAUAAAACACGCACGAAGGGAUAAAACACCGACAAGGUGAUAAAACACCGACGAGGGGAUAAAAUACGGACGAGGAGAUAAAACACGGACGAGGGGAUAAAAUACGGACGAGGGGAUAAAACACGGAUGAGGGGAUAAAACACGGACGAGGGGAUAAAAUACGGACGAGGGGAUAAAACACGCACGAAGGGAUAAAACACCGACAAGGUGAUAAAACACCGACGAGGUGAUAAAACACGGACGAGGUGAUAAAACACGGACGAGGGGAUAAAAUACGGACGAAGGGAUAAAACACGGACGAGGGGAUAAAACACGGAGGAGGGGAUAAAACACGGAUGGGGGAAUAAAACACUGAUGGGGGGAAUAAAACACGUACGAAUGGGGGAAUAAACGUAAUUAUUAUAUAUCAAUAGUCAAAGUCGCAUUUUCUAGUAUUGAGAGUGGUUGAGACCAUAUCACGGGAGAGUGACGAAAUUAGGCUGUCUCCCUCGCAACAGCGCGAGAGGGAGAUAAUACAUUAUCAACCGGCGAAUAAGAAAAAAAAUCACGAGCGCCAUCACGUGAAGAUGCGACCUUUGGACAUGCCUAGUACGUAAUUAAAACUUUCGCUUUAAGUAACUGCAGUGUAGCGAGUGUUUAAUAUAACGUUUUAGCAAUAAAAUAUUUCAUGUAUUUACGUUCAUUUGUUCUACUCCUUGUCGACAAGUAGUUUCGCAUUACACUACAAUUCAAUUUUUCAAAUGUAAAUAUCGCGGCGAGUAUCGCGGCGAGUAAAAUGCGUAAUUUGAUCGUAUUCGAUCUCACUUUACUUUUAAAGCUCAUAAAUCGCUAUAAUGUUGCCAAUGACUAAAACUAUUGCUACGAGUGAGGAGAUCUUGUCACACUGAAUCGAAUGGUGGUAUUUUUGUCCUCAUAGCAUUCAAUGAACCGAAGAUAUUAAAUCGGAAAAGCGUAUUUCUUACAAGCAUUGCGGUAAUAGGGUCGUGUCGUUAAAGAGUUUAAUUUGUUGUUUCCUUGAAAAAUAACCAUUUUUGGGAGGAAAGUGGUUAUCUUUACCGCGCUAAUGGGCACCCGUAAUUAAAGUUGUAAAAAAAUUCAUGAUAUAAGAAACAAUUUAAACACAAAUGAUAAACCCAUACCAUAUAAAACUCGUCUUGUAAUCUGCUGGCUUGUUAUGACGUAGAAUUUACUGCAGAGCGACAUAUGUGUGAGAAUAUAACGUUAUUGAAUAGAAAGUGUGGCAAGUGAUUAAACUAACAAAUGCUUUUUUUAUAUCGCAUAAACAGCGGGUGUUAAUCAGACACGUAAAAGGUUCAAAUGUAAACUGCUAGUACAAGCAACUAACAUGUGUUGAGUGUCUUGUUUCUCGAGCUUCCUCAGUAAAUUUUGUAUUCUCAAAAUAUCAAGUAAUUAAAAUGAAUCCUUGCCUUAUCUUCCUUAGUUCAACAGGUACUCGAAUAGUUCGUACUUAUUGAAUGUGCGCACAGUUACGUUUAUUCCCCCAACCGUGUUUUACCCCCAAAACAGUGUUUUAUCUCCCCAUCCGUAUUUUAUCCUCUCGUCCGUGUUCUAUCCCCUCGUCCGUGUUUUAUCCCCUCGUCUGUGUUUUAUCCCCUCGUCCGUGUUUUAUCCCCUCGUCUGUGUUUUAUCCCUUCGUCCGUGUUUUAUCCCCUCAUCCGUGUUUUAUCAACUCGUCCAUGUUUUAUCCCCUCGUCCGUGUUUUAUCCUCUCGUCCGUGUUUAAUCCCCCAUCCGUGUUUUAUCCCCUGAUCCUUGUUUUAUCCCCUCGUCCGUGUUUUAUCCCCUCGUCCGUGGUUUAUCCUCUUGUCCAAAUUUUAUUCCCUCGUCCGUGUUUUAUCCCCUCUUCCGUGUUUUAUUCCCUCGUCCACGUUUUAUCUCCUCGUGCAUGUUUUAUCCCCCAUCCGUGUUUUAUCCCCCAUAUGUGUUUUAUCCCCCCAUCCGUGUUUUAUCCCUUCGUCCAUGUUUUAUUCCGUCGUCCGUGUUUUAUCCCCUCUUCCGUGUUUUAUUCCCUCGUCCACGUUUUAUCUCCUCGUGCAUGUUUUAUCCCCUAUCCGUGUUUUAUCCCCCCAUCCGUGUUUUUUCCCCUCGUCCAUGUUUUAUUCCCUCGUCCGUGUUUUUUCAACACGUCCAUGUUUUAUUCCCUCGUCCGUGUUCUAUCCCCUCGUUCUUGAUUUAUCCCCUCGUCCGUGUUUUAUCCUCUCGUCCGUGUUUAAUCCCCCAUCCGUGUUUUAUCCCCUGAUCCUUGUUUUAUCCCCUCGUCUGUGUUUUAUCCCCUCGUCCGUGUUUUAUCCUCUUGUCCAAAUUUUAUUCCCUCGUCCGUGUUUUAUCCCCUCUUCCGUGUUUUAUUCCCUCGUCCACGUUUUAUCUCCUCGUGCAUGUUUUAUCCCCCAUCCGUGUUUUAUCCCCCAUCUGUGUUUUAUCCCCCCAUCCGUGUUUUAUCCCCUCGUCCAUGUUUUAUUCCCUCGUCCGUGUUUUAUCCAUUCGUCCGUGUUUUAUCCACUCGUCCAUGUUUUAUCCCCUUGUCCGUGUUUUAUCACCUCGUCCGUGUUUUAUCCACUCGUCCAUGUUUUAUCCCCUUGUCCGUGUUUUAUCCCCUCGUCCGUGUUUUAUCACCUCAUCCGUGUUUUAUCCCCUCGUCCGUGUUCUAUCCCCUCAUCCUUGUUUUAUCCCCUCGUCUGUGUUUUAUCCCCUCGUCCGUGUUUUAUCCUCUUGUCCAAAUUUUAUUCCCUCGUCUGUGUUUUAUCCCCUCUUCCGUGUUUUAUUCCCUCGUCCACGUUUUAUCUCCUCGUGCAUGUUUUAUCCCCUAUCCGUGUUUUAUCCCCCCAUCCGUGUUUUUUCCCCUCGUCCAUGUUUUAUUCCCUCGUCCGUGUUUGUUCAACACGUCCAUGUUUUAUUCCCUCGUCCGUGUUCUAUCCCCUCGUUCUUGAUUUAUUCCCUCGUCCACGUUUUAUCUCUUCGUCCAUGUUUAAUUCCCCAUCCGUGUUUUAUCCCCUCAUCCUUGUUUUAUCCCCUCGUCCGUGUUUUAUCCCCUCGUCCGUGGUUUAUCCUCGUGUCCAAAUUUUAUUCCCUUGUCCGUGUUUUAUUCCCUCUUCCGUGUUUUAUUCCCUCGUCCACGUUUUAUCUCCUCGUGCAUGUUUUAUCCCCCAUCCGUGUUUUAUCCCCCAUCCGUGUUUUAUCCCCUCAUCCGUGUUUUAUCCCCUCGUCCAUGUUUUAUUCCCUCGUCCGUGUUUUAUCCACUCGUCCAUGUUUUAUCCCCUUGUCCGUGUUUUUUCAACUCGUCCAUGUUUUAUUCUCUCGUCCGCGUUUUAUCCACUCGUCCGUGUUUUAUCCCCUCGUCCGUGUUUUAUCCCCUCGUCCAUGUUUUAUCCCCUCGUCCGUGUUCUAUCCCCUCGUUCUUGAUUUAUUCCCUCGUCCACGUUUUAUCUCUUCGUCCGUGUUUUAUCCUCUUGUCCAAAUUUUAUUCCCUCUUCCGUGUUUUAUCCCCUCUUCCGUGUUUUAUUACCUCGUCCACGUUUUAUCUCCUGGUGCAUGUUUUAUCCCCCAUCCGUGUUUUAUCCCCCCAUCCGUGUUUUCUCCCGUCGUCCUUGUUUUAUCCCCUCGUCCGUGUUUUAUCACCUUGUCCGUGUUUUAUCCCCUUGUCCGUGUUUUAUCCCCUGGUCCGUGCUUUAUUCCCUCGUCCGCGUUUUACAUGUGUCUCCUCGUGCAUGUUUUAUCCCCCAUCCGUGUUUUAUCCCCUCGUCCGUGUUUUAUCCCCUCGUCCAUGUUUUAUCCCACCGUCCGUGUCCGUGCCGUGCGUAUCCGUGUUUUAUCCCCCAGCCUAUCUAGAUUUAUUGUUCUAUCACGUUCAAAUUUACCAUGGAAUAUACCUUCUCGGAAGUUUUACAAGGUAAAGUAACAAUAAAAUUGAAAUGAGAAUGUUUGACUGGUAGUAUAACCCUGAAGCAUGCA
RNAcentral lists this long non-coding RNA (5679 nucleotides) under Paramuricea clavata. The record is from RNAcentral. Lineage: Eukaryota; Metazoa; Cnidaria; Anthozoa; Malacalcyonacea; Plexauridae.